ACGCCUGCACCUGAAGGACGCAUGGAAACCUGUGGGAAUCUGCUGGAUUAUUACCUGAGUGGCACAGAGCGAUGUCAUGGAUUAUUAAAGGUCAGUCCCUUCAUUUGAAUGAAUUUAAUGAAUUACAUGUCUGUUUCUGUUAACUACGCGUGUCUGAGAAUAACAGUAGCUAAAUGUUAUUGACAGAAUUCCAUUCACAUAGUUUGUAAUCAGAGAGAAACUGACCGACUUUACCUGGAAAAUCAAUCGGUUUAUUGUAUCCAGCUCAGAUGCUGUAAACGAGCCUGUUAUUAGAUGGCUUCAGACAACGUGUCAUUAAAGUGUAGCCCGUUCUCUGUGGCCUGCAGAUGGACCCUGGCUGACAGCUGGUACCUGGUGUGUCGUCCUGCAGCAGAGGCUGGCAGGGUCUCCGUGUGUCUGGAGGGUUACAGUCACUCAGUCAUGCAGGACGCGUCGCUGCUUGGAUUGUUACAAACAAACGUCGCUUCCCAAUCAGCUGUGGGUGAGUCAGAGACAAAGAAGCACGUCUCUCCUGUGGUCGCGCCCUUUUUAUAGUGUUUUCGACUACUCUGGACCCCACUGUAAGUAAUAGCUCUUGUAAUUGUUUUGUUUUUUUCAAGUCAAAAUGCAUAUUUUGUCUUCAGCUUGUGUUGUAUGCUAGAUUAGAUGCAGCACCUUACAUUAUAAUAUAUGGCAUUGGAAAACUUAACCAAUAAGAUAAAAUACAACCUUAACACAGAAUUAAUGUUGGAGUGUAGGGGUCCUAACAGUUCAUUUAUAUAAGGGACCGGCCAGCAUCCUGUCUGGAAGUAGAAAAUACAUAUUUCAUCUUUAUUUUCAGCUUCUGUGGUGUCAUAAGUCAUUGCGGGUUUGACUGUAGCAGCGCUGUCUCUAUUAAAUCUCAUGGGCUAUUAAUUUCUGCUGGGUUAGCAGCGUGUUGACCCGUACAGGUCCCUGAGGACUCUCUAAUAACAGCUAAUGGGCUGUUAAAGUAGAGGGCGGAGCGUCUCCGCUCAGGGCCGCGCGCUCGGGGCUCACCGCCAAUUACUUCUCAUGGAACGGGAGAAGCCGAGCGCUGAUUUGGCGUGUAGCGCGCGGGUGCGUGUGAAAGCACACCUGCCUGCGUGUGCGUCUGUCAGUCAGGGUCUUCUUCCACCCGGCGAGCUGCGUGCAGGCAGUCAUUAGCAGCACAAGCCUGUCAUUAAGCCCGUCAGUCCCUCUCCCCACCAGCUGACCUGCUGAUUUGGACAGCUUCUGUACUUAACCCCCGAACCCCGAUUCCACGGGUGACUCAACAUGGUGUGUGUGUGUGUGUGUGUGUGUGUGUGUGUGUGUGUGUGUGUGUGUGUGUGUGUGUGUGUGUGUGUGUGUGUGUGUGUGUGUGUGUGUGUGUGUGUGUGUGUGUGUGUGUGUGU
Molecule: long non-coding RNA, 1415 nt
Organism: Betta splendens (Siamese fighting fish)
Lineage: Eukaryota; Metazoa; Chordata; Actinopteri; Anabantiformes; Osphronemidae
Source: Ensembl